AGAUUUUAGACUUUUGGUCUCUCUCUCUUCAAGCCUUCUCAGACAAACUUCACCGCCUCUGUCUUUCUCCCCGUUCGUGCGACGCUUAUGCUCCUACCUCAAUUUCAUUUUCAUGUUUUCCCUGCAUCUUCAUCUUCAUUCAUUCUCCGUGAACGAAGUCCCACCCAAAAUCACUCAGCCUCAUCAACGUCCCUGCUCUAGUUCUUGGUGCCUCCCUUAGUCAACCGAGCAAUUCCUUCUUCGUCCGAGUUCUUCGACGCCAGCUCUCGGUCAACUCGGCGAUUACCUCAGCAAGUGUUGACUGCCAAGCCCACCGAAUCUGCUUGCUUUCAUCUCCUGUGAAGACCUUCGGUUUUGUUGAUUGAAGCAGCGUCCUUCGAAGAAGCCAGCUGCCUUCUUCUUCUUUCGGUUUUGAUGAGCUGUCCAGCAGUCCGAAGUUCCCUGCCCCUUUCGUUGCCACCAAAGAUCAGCGAAGCUCCUCAAGCUCACUUCAUCUCACCGAACCGAAGCGGCCACGUCUCCAGCAAAUUUCGUGAGCCCAUCUUCGUGUAAGCCGCAGCCCAUCUUCACAGCGUCUUCGUCUUGUCCUCGUGAAGCCAGCGACAAAACCCUGCCGCUCCAUGGUCGUUUGUCUUCUACCACUGUUUCAGCAUCUCCAUCUCGCCAACUGAAGCUGCCAGCGAAGCCCGCACGUGGAUCAGCAGCAACGCAUGAAGCCCAGCUUCAUUUCUUUAGCCCGUAUCAGCCCAUCGUGUCUUCAAGUCCAAGCCCACGUGAAUUCUGCCGCAAGCCAACAAAUUCAGCCCAUUUGAAGCUUAGUCCAGCAAGGCCCAGCAGCUCCUUUAAGCCCAAGUCCAGCAGCCCAUCUUGAAGUCAGCUCAGUCCAGUGAAGCCCGGCCCGUUUCAGCAACAAAUCUUAGUUGGGCUGAGAUUUGUUGGGCCAAGUUUAGGCCCGGCCCAAGUUUGUCGACACCGCCGAAAAUUUCGAUUUCAACCGCCGUCGCGUCGUUGUCGCGGUGAACCAGUUUCCGCAAUUAACCGGUGAGUUUAUACUCUAAACUCUGCUUAGUAGGCUAAUAACGUUUAAGGGGUGUUUUUAGAUUUAUUUUAUUUGGAAUUAGGUGGUUAAUUAGAUUAAAUUAGAAAUUGAAUUAUUUAAUUGAGCAUGUUAGAUAGUUAGCAUGGUUUAGCUAUGGCCUAAAUAAAUUGUACUAUUUAUCUAGAAGGGUUCAGGAAUUUCUCCGAGUCCAUAUGGUCAUUAAUUUAAUGAUUUUGGCCUAGGUUAUUAUUUGUAGAAUUUAAAUUGAUUUAUUUAAUUAAUUUCAGUAAUUAUUUAAUUAUUAAUUAUUUUCCGGAAAUUGUGCCGGGAUAGCCGGUGACCGGAAUUUCGUGCUGAUUGCAAUGGUGUGGUUAAUUUUUGCAAUUGAGUGUUAAAUUAUGCAAAUUGAGUACUGAUUUGAUUUUUGGUAUUUAAUUCCAAAAAAUUGUGAAUUUCCAAUAUUUAUUUAGAAAAUCUCAGGUGUCAAGUUUUGACACCGAAAAUGGUUUUUAGUACUAUAUGAAAUAGUGUGAUUUCAAAAAUGAUGAAUAUCAAUUUUUCUGGAUCAAGUUGACCAUGUACCCACACACGAGUAAUUUCAUGUGAAUUUCUAAUACGAAGAAAAAUGCUAGGCUCACCAUUUUAAUUGAAGCAUUUGAGUUCAAUGCACGGUGCCCUGGGCCAUAAUUGAGUGAUCGUGUGAUGGUUGAGAGAAAUCGUCCCGGGCUGUUGAGUUGGACGUUAUCACUAUUUGGGAUACCCCUGGACAACGGGAAGCCGGUUGCAAUUGAUUCUGGACUCUAUGCUCCUUCAAGAAAGCCGUCUGAUAAAGAGACGUGUUGUGCUCAAUGGGGUGAGACGAAGCCUGGCAAUGCCAGAAGACCACCGAAUUGAGAGUAUGCCGUGCUAUAUGCCGAGAUCAAAACUAGGAAUGCAUGAUUAAUUGAGUGUGAGGUUUCAGUUAUUGGAGCUUAUUUGUUGCUCAUGCUCUCGUGUUGUCUAUGAGAUAAAUUGUACUGACCUGCAGGGUGGAUCUGAGACGAGGUAAGUCUCCUUGAUUGUGUGAUUGUGUGAUUAUGACAUUUCUUGGCAUAUUUCCCUCCUAAUUAGGGUUUAGAGCUUAGACUCGCUGAGAUAAUAUCUCACCCUGUUGUGGGACAACAUUUUCAGGGUCGUCGAGUGGAGGACCUGGAGCUGAGAGGAGGUGAUCGGAAGCGUAGGUCAGUUAGGACCGCUUCUUUUUGGAAGGCUAGUCUUUUGUAGUCUUUUGGCCAUAGACCUUUAUACAUGACUCAGUGUAUAUAUAAAAGCAUGUUUGUUUGUGAAUCUAUUGUCCUGCUUUUCUAUCCCGAGAUGAUUAUUGUCAGGGGAUUUCUUUUCGCUUCCGCAUGUGCAAUAAAAUGGAAAGGGUCGGCGACUCGUCCUAGGAAGUCGCAAAUUAUUAUCGACCAGAUAGGGAUGGGCACACGCUCGGGGUUCGGGGCGUGACACUUGGGCGUAUUUUCUUUCUAAUAGGGUUUUAG
RNAcentral lists this long non-coding RNA (2562 nucleotides) under Eucalyptus grandis. Its description in RNAcentral is "long non-coding RNA (EGRA_LNC005648)". Lineage: Eukaryota; Viridiplantae; Streptophyta; Magnoliopsida; Myrtales; Myrtaceae. The record is from RNAcentral.